RNAcentral lists this unclassified non-coding RNA (196 nucleotides) under uncultured Acaulospora. RNAcentral describes it as "sequence contains ITS2". The record is from RNAcentral. Lineage: Eukaryota; Fungi; Glomeromycota; Glomeromycetes; Diversisporales; Acaulosporaceae.
GUUUUACAAUCGUAAGAAGAAAUUUUUACGGAUCUGGAUUUUCCAAAGUUCUUUUUGGUAAUCUAAAAUUUAUCUUAACAAUAGGUGAUAUUGGAAAUGUUUAUCUUUAAUUCAUUAACAAUUGUUACCAAUUUGUUACGUCGUGUUAUUUUCCUAAUUUCUUAAUUAGGUAAGGUAAUACAAUUUAUCUUUUGAA